CCUACGGGGGCAGAAGUGAGGAAGAGUGGUCAAGGGACGAAAGUCGGAACCAGUCAGGGCGAGUGAAGGAAGACGGAUCGAGGAGUUGGAAACAGCUGUUGUACGAGGGGAAAGCCCGAUACGUGUAUCGGGUUGAAAGUACCGUACGAAUAAGGAGCGGCGAACUCCGUGUCAGCAGCCGCGGUAACACGGAGGAUUCAAGCGUUAUCCGGAUUUAGUGGGGUUAAAGGGGGCUGAGGCGGGUCGGUAAGUUAGAGGUGAAAGCCCGGGGGUCAACUCCGGCACUGCCUCUGUGACUGUCGGGCUAGAGUUUAGUUGCGGUAGGCGGAAUGUAUGGUGUAGCCGUGAAAUGCAUCUAGAUCAUGCAGAACACCGAUUGCGAAGGCAGCUUACCAAACUACGACUGACGUUGAGGCACGAAAGCGUGGGGAGCAAACAGGAUUAGAUACCCGGGUAGUC
This 459-nucleotide ribosomal RNA is filed under the name uncultured bacterium. RNAcentral's name for it is "partial 16S ribosomal RNA". It matches the Rfam family "Bacterial small subunit ribosomal RNA", at positions 338 to 795 of the family's 1533-position model. The record is from RNAcentral.